This 3206-nucleotide unclassified non-coding RNA is filed under the name Gigantopelta aegis. RNAcentral's name for it is "uncharacterized LOC121379262, transcript variant X2". Lineage: Eukaryota; Metazoa; Mollusca; Gastropoda; Neomphalida; Peltospiridae. The record is from RNAcentral.
UUUGAAUUAGCUGUUACACUUGCCUAGGAACCAUCUGAUUACACGGGACUGGUCUGCACGCUGGUCAGUAACGACACGUAUUUGUAUUACUAAUACAUUUGCACACAACAUUUGUGAUGCAGAAAUUACAAGACAUAGCCUACAGUUUACGUCAAAAGCCCACCACAACCUAUCAAGAACUGUUUGGUGUGGCCAGCUACAGAAGGAAUCCACCCCCUGAAUAUCUCCGGCGAGGUUCCUACUCCCACUGGGUAUUACGACAGUGACGAGUGGUUGGAAACAGGUACAUCCACUUGCUGACCAGUCAGGAACGAUAUGAGAUACAGUUUGACAUUCAGGACGAGGAUGGGGCAACAGGAACGAGGCUCUAUGAGAGUUUCUCCAUCUCAGAUGGAGCGAACAUGUACAGACUGAAUAUCAGCGGACCAUCUGUGGGAAACAUAACCGAAGAGAUGAGUAGUCUUAACAAUAUGCAGUUCUCCACGCGGGACCACGACAUCGACAGCCACAAGACAGUGAACUGCGCCGUGGUGUUCGGCGGAGCAUGGUGGUAUCAAAUGUGCUCACGCGUGGCCCUCAACUCACGACUCACACCGACUAACAACCACAGCAGAUGGCAGCCAUUCUCAGUUAGAUUAACACGAACCGAAAUCAGAAUCAGACCAGCGAGUGGCUUUUGACUGUUUACAUUUAUAUAGCUAUUAACAACUGGUACCCUACUACCAGUCUACAAACACAAAAAACCCAUUCUUUUUCUCAUUUUUCUUUUUUACAAUGUUCUUUUAUUUGAUAGCGUCCUCUUUUAAAUAGGCUUUUGAUUCCUUUGCAGUCAGAAAAGAGGAUUGUGUUUAACUAGUUUGCACUGAGCUUUCAUUUUGUUCCGUCGUUACUGCGUCUGUAGUUUUACAUUUUACUUACAUGUUAAAUAUUUUAAUGGCUCUUUUCUAUCAUGAUAAAUAAAAAUCAUGUUAUAUAGUGCAUGUUGAAAAAAAAUGUAUUAAAUGGAAACAAUUCUCACCAAUAGUAUAGAUCGCUCAAUUGAUUUGUGUUAAUGAAUCGGAUUUUGGUUUUUAAUUUUCAACAUUAUUGCAGUUUACGACCAAAGGAGAAAAAAAGAAGAGAAAAUGUUUUUUUCCCCUUAUUACUAAAAGUCGAUUUAUAUACACUAAUAUACACUGGUGGCAAGGAAAAUGGGAACCCAUGCUAUCACCACCAAAGUAAUUACGCUUGUAUAAAAUACAGAGAUGUAAUGUGGAACUGAACGUCAGUACUGUGGGAUUAAAUGUGAGUAACACACUUAACUUCCUGAUGCUAUUGAUGAGGGUAGUAGUCAACAUUUGUUAUAAUAUACUGAGUCAUAUUAAAAACUUCACAACCGUUUCAUCUUGGCUAAUUAGCAAAUACGACAGAAGAACGUGUUAAAUAAGGUAUUUUUUGUAUUGUAUGACGUCCACAAAAAGAAUAAGAAUAAAUGUUGAGUCAAAAAUGUGUUCGAUGCGCCCACAACAUUCGUCAAAACCACAAACAGUCAAAAUGGUAAUUCACAAGCAGGGUCGUCUGAUGAAAUCACAGGUUUAGUAGCGCGUAUGCCAUCCAUUUGUACCCACAACGGCAAGGCAACGCCUCUUCAUCGACUGCCUGAUGCAUGUAAAGACUGCAUUAGGGAUACGGCGCUAUUGUUCCACUAAUGAGGCACCAAGUUCCUGCAAAGUCUGUGGAGGGUUCCUGAGAGUGCGCAGGCUUCUUCCCAGCACAUCCAAAACGUGCUCGAUGGGAUUCAGGUCGGGCGACAUUGAAGGCCAAUCCAUGACAUUGAUCCCCGCGUUCCUCAGGUAAUCCCUUGUCAAGGUGGCCAUGUGGGGUCUGGCGUUGUCAUGCUGAAAGAUCAGACCUGGACCAUGAGCUGCCAUGAAGGACACACGUUCCUGGGCCAGCACCUGGUGGCGGUAUGCAGCAGCGUUGAGGUUGCCACGGAUGACAAGAAGUCGAGAACGUCCAUUUCAACAGAAAGCACCCCAAACCAGUACACGUCCGCCUCCGAAUCUGUCAACAACACUGAGCAUGACGUUCACCACGUCGUCUCCAAACCCUAUGCCUGCCAUCGGUAAAUCGCUGUGUGAAUCUUGAUUCAUCGCUAAACACGACUCUAUUCCAUUCCCUCUCAGUCCAUCGCAAGUGGCAUUGUGUUCACAGUUGACGUUGACGUCGAUGAAAUUGGGUCGAAAUGGGUCCAAUAUAUGCGCGCCGUGCGUGGAGGUGAGCAUUUCGCAGCCGAUUUUGGAUCGUUUGUGGGGACACCCGACGUCUGAUAAGUUCAUUACUGGUUACUGUAGCUGUCAUGAAAUGGUUGCGGAGUUCACGUAACACAAUAUGACGGUCAUCUGCCUAUGACGUCACACGUGGUCUACCCGGUCUGGGGCGAUCAGCUGUGGUGCCCGUUUGUUGUACUCGUGUCCGCAGAUCAUAAAUUGUCCGUCGACUGCAACCCAAUGCUCUUGCAACGUCAGCUACUGACGUUCCCGCGUGCAACAUGCACCGGCAACGGCACGUUCACGCUGCACAUUUGUGAGGCGUGGCAUUGAAACAGGUCGUAAACAAAUAUCGUUUUAAUGUGUUUUUUCGUUGUGUCAGACUAAUGUGAGCAAGUGACGAUGAAAACACGUGGCUAUUAUAGUCACGUCACCAGUGGCACGUGCAAAACUACGUUUGCCUCAGUGGUGGUGUGCACAUGCUAUGGAUCGGGUCACGUGGGCUGUGAUGAGCUUCAAAUGGAGUGUAGACAUUUCCAUUACAAUAUUUAUUCCUGAAAAAAAUACCUGCUUUCAACACUCACUGACUUUAUUCAAAUUUUAGAUUGUGAAGUUUAUAAUCUGACUUCUGUAUAUUUAUCUUCAUCAGUGUAUAUAGUAUAUCCUUUUGCAAUAUAUGGUUUUAGAAAAUCUUGUUAGUGAGAAACUUUGGAGAAGGCAAAUUGGUCAGCCCUCGGACUCGCAUAGUUUGAUGUGAUGAAGUUAUUAUAAGUUUUAAUAACCACCUAACGAACUUUUUAAAACAUUUUCUUAUGAAAAUUUGUCGGAACAUUGAUUUUUUUCUUUCCAUGGUCCUUGGAACCCUAAUACCACUACUUGUUCGUUGAUCGUAGCCACCGAUUUAAUCAUUUCAUCUAUAUGCCAUCCUUAUUACACAAUAAAACUUGCUUAAGAUUG